RNAcentral lists this ribosomal RNA (540 nucleotides) under marine sediment bacterium BB0608_AND_7.1_5G0. RNAcentral describes it as "bacterial SSU rRNA". It matches the Rfam family "Bacterial small subunit ribosomal RNA", at positions 76 to 599 of the family's 1533-position model. The record is from RNAcentral.
GAGCUUGCUCUUAUGAAGUUAGCGGCGGACGGGUGAGUAACACGUGGGUAACCUGCCCAUAAGACUGGGAUAACUCCGGGAAACCGGGGCUAAUACCGGAUAACAUUUUGAACCGCAUGGUUCGAAAUUGAAAGGCGGCUUCGGCUGUCACUUAUGGAUGGACCCGCGUCGCAUUAGCUAGUUGGUGAGGUAACGGCUCACCAAGGCAACGAUGCGUAGCCGACCUGAGAGGGUGAUCGGCCACACUGGGACUGAGACACGGCCCAGACUCCUACGGGAGGCAGCAGUAGGGAAUCUUCCGCAAUGGACGAAAGUCUGACGGAGCAACGCCGCGUGAGUGAUGAAGGCUUUCGGGUCGUAAAACUCUGUUGUUAGGGAAGAACAAGUGCUAGUUGAAUAAGCUGGCACCUUGACGGUACCUAACCAGAAAGCCACGGCUAACUACGUGCCAGCAGCCGCGGUAAUACGUAGGUGGCAAGCGUUAUCCGGAAUUAUUGGGCGUAAAGCGCGCGCAGGUGGUUUCUUAAGUCUGAUGUGAAA